GCGGAGAGGGUCUGUAACUGAGUGUUGGGGUUAGAGAACGGAGAGGGUCUGUAACUGAGUGUUGGGGUUAGAGAACGGAGAGGGUCUGUAACUGGGUGUUUGGGUUAGAGAACGGAGAGGGUCUGUAACUGAGUGUUGGGGUUAGAGAACAGAGAGGGUCUGUAACUGAGUGUUGGGGUUAGAGAACAGAGAGGGUCUGUAACUGGGUGUUGGGGUUAGGGAACGGAGAGGGUCUGUAACUGAGUGUUUGGGUUAGAGAACAGAGAGGGUCUGUAACUGGGUGUUGGGGUUAGAGAACGGAGAGGGUCUGUAACUGGGUGUUGGGGUUAGAGAACGGAGAGGGUCUGUAACUGAGUGUUGGGGUUAGAGAACGGAGAGGGUCUGUAACUGAGUGUUGGGGUUAGAGAACGGAGAGGGUUUGUAACUGAGUGUUGGGGUUAGAGAACGGAGAGGGUCUGUAACUGAGUGUUGGGGUUAGAGAACAGAGAGGGUCUGUAACUGAGUGUUGGGGUUAGAGAACAGAGAGGGUCUGUAACUGAGUGUUGGGGUUAGAGAACGGAGAGGGUCUGUAACUGAGUGUUGGGGUUAGAGAACGGAGAGGGUCUGUAACUGAGUGUUGGGGUUAGAGAACGGAGAGGGUCUGUAACUGAGUGUUGGGGUUAGAGAACAGAGAGGGUCUGUAACUGAGUGUUGGGGUUAGAGAACGGAGAGGGUCUGUAACUGAGUGUUGAGGUUAGAGAACAGAGAGGGUCUGUAACUGGGUGUUGGGGUUAGAGAACAGAGAGGGUCUGUAACUGAGUGUUGGGGUUAGAGAACGGAGAGGGUCUGUAACUGAGUGUUGAGGUUAGAGAACAGAGAGGGUCUGUAACUGGGUGUUGGGGUUAGAGAACAGAGAGGGUCUGUAACUGAGUGUUGGGGUUAGAGAACGGAGAGGGUCUGUAACUGAGUGUUGGGGUUAGAGAACAGAGAGGGUCUGUAACUGAGUGUUGGGGUUAGAGAACAGAGAGGGUCUGUAACUGAGUGUUGGGGUUAGAGAACGGAGAGGGUCUGUAACUGAGUGUUGGGGUUAGAGAACGGAGAGGGUCUGUAACUGAGUGUUGGGGUUAGAGAACAGAGAGGGUCUGUAACUGAGUGUUGGGGUUAGAGAACAGAGAGGGUCUGUAACUGAGUGUUGGGGUUAGAGAACGGAGAGGGUCUGUAACUGAGUGUUGGGGUUAGAGAACGGAGAGGGUCUGUAACUGGGUGUUGAGGUUAAAGAACGGAGAGGGUCUGUAACUGAGUGUUGGGGUUAGAGAACGGAGAGGGUCUGUAACUGAGUGUUGGGGUUAGAGAACGGAGCGGGUCUAACUGGGUGUUUGGGUUAGAGAACGGAGAUGGUCUGUAACUGAGUGUUGGGGUUAGAGAACGGAGAGGGUCUGUAACUGAGUGUUGGGGUUAGAGAACGGAAAGGGUCUGUAACUGAGUGUUGGGGUUAGAGAACGGAGAGGGUCUGUAACUGAGUGUUGGGGUUAGAGAGCGGAGAGGGUCUGUAACUGAGUGUUGGGGUUAGAGAACGGAGAGGAUCUGUAACUGGGUGUUGGGGUUAGAGAACGGAGAGGGUCUGUAACUAGGUGUUGGGGUUAGAGAACGGAGAGGGUCUGUAACUGGGUGUUGGGGUUAGAGAACGGAGAGGGUCUGUAACUGAGUGUUGGGGUUAGAGAACGGAGAGGGUCUGUAACUGAGUGUUGGGGUUAGAGAACGGAAAGGGUCUGUAACUGAGUGUUGGGGUUAGAGAACAGAGAGGGUCUGUAACUGAGUGUUGGGGUUAGAGAACGGAGAGGGUCUGUAACUGAGUGUUGGAGUUAGAGAACAGAGAGGGUCUGUAACUGGGUGUUUGGGUUAGAGAACAGAGAGGGUCUGUAACUGAGUGUUGGGGUUAGAGAACAGAGAGGGUCUGUAACUGAGUGUUGGGGUUAGAGAACGGAAAGGGUCUGUAACUAAGUGUUGGGGUUAGAGAACAGAGAGGGUCUGUAACUGAGUGUUGGGGUUAGAGAACGGAAAGGGUCUGUAACUGGGUGUUGGGGUUAGAGAACAGAGAGGGUCUGUAACUGAGUGUUGGGGUAUGGAGGGUGAUGUGAUAUCUGACUGAGCUGCUGUAUGUCUCUGUCUGUCUCAGGUGGUGAUGAUACUUGUUGCCAUUAAAGUGCCUUAAUGACUA
Long non-coding RNA from Oncorhynchus keta (chum salmon), 2197 nucleotides. RefSeq lists it as uncharacterized. The transcript has 4 exons. Lineage: Eukaryota; Metazoa; Chordata; Actinopteri; Salmoniformes; Salmonidae. The record is from RefSeq and is a predicted model, not a curated record.